This 362-nucleotide long non-coding RNA is filed under the name Pan paniscus (pygmy chimpanzee). RNAcentral describes it as "lncRNA (ENSPPAG00000044811.1)". The record is from RNAcentral. Lineage: Eukaryota; Metazoa; Chordata; Mammalia; Primates; Hominidae.
GUCUGGUAUUUUUGAUGGUCUAAAAUCCCCGAUUCUUCAAAAACAAUCAUAAAGAUUCCAAAAGACUCAACUAGAUGCCAUGCUUGCCUGUCUCCAUGCACUAAUGAGAGGAUCUCCUAAGGUUCCCGACGUUCUUCCUGCCCUGCCUGGUUCAAGGCCACCUGAAAACUAUACACCGAGCCCAGGCAGAAGCACCUGGAUUUCCACUGAGGUCUCCAAGAUGGUCAAUGGCGAACAUUUUCUACACUUUAAUGGCAGCAUAACAAAGAAGACGUCUAAGGAAUUUUACUCAUCAGUAUGGAGUAAUGGGCAGGCAUAUUGAAAUGGUCUCUGGAGUAAUGGGCAGGUAUAUUGAAAUGGUC